UCAAAUUAAUCCGAUAAAGCGUAUUUUUAUACUAAUUAUACUUCACAAACGGGAAUAUUUGUUCUCCGUCAAAACGAAAUUUUUAGUUGGUUUCUCGAGUACACUGUUCGUAUGUGAGUCAUGAGCCAAUCAGAAUGCGUAUUUCGCGUGAGGGACUGCAGUGUUGUAUUUAUUUUCUAGUGUUUUUCUCCGGUCAUCCGGUGACUUUUUACAUUUAAAAAAAUUCGUCGACGGUCGACAAAAAAAUUGAAGAAAAAUUUGCCAAAGAAGAAAUUUGAAACGUAAAUGUUCUAAGUUUGUUAUAUGAAUCGUAAUUCAAGCCAAGUCAUCAUUCCAAAGUUCCAAACCCUUCAGUUGAGUCAGUGGAUUUUUGAAUAUCAAAAUUACAUAGUGAAAUGGAUGUUACGCAGUACAAUACAGUGAAAUCUGCGAAGUUACUUGUACUUUUUCCACCAUAUCGCUUCAUUUCAUAUGGAAACAUCAAUUGAAAAUUGAAAUCUCAAAUCUGUCACCGACCGACCCAUUGUCUUUCCAGAGUCAACAUUGAUUAAUCACUUCUGUUGUAGCAAUUCGUAAUAAGAUGACCAAUUUUCUUCUUUUUUGUUGGAAUUUGAAACAUCGAAACAAAAAUCGAAAUUACUUGUGGAGAAUCGAGUUCAAGAAGAACAACUGAACAACUCAGGCUUGUGUUUGUGUUUUCCACGAAAAAAGGAUUGGUUAAUUUAGGGGAGCGCCGUCAUGAAUCAGCUAUCCAUAGAAAGAGUCUACUCAACUUUCGUUUAUUGAAAUGAAUCGUUGUGUUGGAUUACCUCUCUGAAUCAUAUUGAAUCCUGACAAAGUUUUUUGUACCCAAAAUUGAAAGGAAACACGUCGAUUUUAUAAAAAGUAAUUCAUUUUAUCAAACUAUUUACAAGAUCAACUUAGAAAAAUAAAUACAAACACACUCUCUUUAUUUAAACUUAAUUUUGAUUGUUUUUUUUUCACAGUUAACUUUCUUCACUGGCAGUCUGUUUAUUGGUAUUGGCCAAUGUGCCUGGUUUUCGAGCUGUUAAAUUUCUUCUUCGACUAGCAAGUUGUAAUAAUUUACUUUCUGUUGUUGAUGACACUUCUGCAACAGGCGAUGUAUCUGAAGCUUCACUAUCUACCUUGGGCGACGAUUCAUCUACAUCUUCUUCGACUGGUUUUGAAACUUCGUGUUUCUCUUCUUUUGGCUCUUCCGCAGGCGGUGGUUGUUUCUUC
This is a long non-coding RNA of Planococcus citri (citrus mealybug), 1239 nucleotides long. RefSeq lists it as uncharacterized. The transcript has 4 exons. The record is from RefSeq and is a predicted model, not a curated record. NCBI's taxonomy places the organism in Eukaryota, Metazoa, Arthropoda, Insecta, Hemiptera, Pseudococcidae.